Molecule: ribosomal RNA, 253 nt
Filed under: uncultured bacterium
Lineage: Bacteria
Description: partial 16S ribosomal RNA
Rfam family: Bacterial small subunit ribosomal RNA
Source: RNAcentral
UACAGGGGGUGCAAGCGUUGCUCGGAUUUACUGGGCGUAAAGCGUACGCAGACGGUGAGAAAGGUCGGAUGUGAAAGCCCCGGGCUCAACCCGGGAACUGCAUCCGAAACCAUCUCGCUAGAGUAUGGGAGAGGGAAGCGGAAUUCCUGGUGUAGAGGUGAAAUUCGUAGAUAUCAGGAGGAACAUCUGCGGCGAAGGCGGCUUCCUGGCCCAUUACUGACGUUCAGGUACGAAAGCGUGGGUAGCAAACAGG